AGUUGGAUCCUGGCUCAGAUUGAACGCUGGCGGCAUGCCUAACACAUGCAAGUCGAACGGUAACAGGUCUUCGGAUGCUGACGAGUGGCGGACGGGUGAGUAACGCGUAGGAAUCUGUCUUUGAGUGGGGGACAACCCAGGGAAACUUGGGCUAAUACCGCAUAAGCCCUGAGGGGGAAAGCGGGGGAUCUUCGGACCUCGCGCUGGAAGAGGAGCCUACGUCUGAUUAGCUAGUUGGUAGGGUAAAGGCCUACCAAGGCGACGAUCGGUAGCUGGUCUGAGAGGACGACCAGCCACACUGGGACUGAGACACGGCCCAGACUCCUACGGGAGGCAGCAGUGGGGAAUUUUUCGCAAUGGGGGCAACCCUGACGAAGCAAUGCCGCGUGAAUGAAGUAGGCCUUCGGGUUGUAAAGUUCUUUCGUGGAGGACGAAAAGGUGGGUGCUAAUAUCGCCUGCUGUUGACGUGAAUCCAAGAAGAAGCACCGGCUAACUCCGUACCAGCAGCCGCGGUAAUACGGGGGGUGCAAGCGUUAAUCGGAAUCACUGGGCGUAAAGGGUGCGUAGGCGGUGCAUUAGGUCUGUCGUGAAAUC
RNAcentral lists this ribosomal RNA (594 nucleotides) under uncultured Gammaproteobacteria bacterium. RNAcentral's name for it is "bacterial SSU rRNA". It matches the Rfam family "Bacterial small subunit ribosomal RNA", at positions 10 to 601 of the family's 1533-position model. Lineage: Bacteria; Pseudomonadati; Pseudomonadota; Gammaproteobacteria. The record is from RNAcentral.